GGGGAAGAGGGCACAAUACGCCCCCUGCAAAAUAGAGAUUAACCGACGUUUAUUAACGCGUCGGUUAUUUUUUUGC
Molecule: small RNA, 76 nt
Filed under: [Enterobacter] lignolyticus SCF1
Lineage: Bacteria; Pseudomonadati; Pseudomonadota; Gammaproteobacteria; Enterobacterales; Enterobacteriaceae
Description: Enterobacter cloacae SCF1 Enterobacterial sRNA STnc240
Rfam family: Enterobacterial sRNA STnc240
Source: Rfam by way of RNAcentral